This is a long non-coding RNA of Papaver somniferum (opium poppy), 2196 nucleotides long. RefSeq lists it as uncharacterized. The record is from RefSeq and is a predicted model, not a curated record. NCBI's taxonomy places the organism in Eukaryota, Viridiplantae, Streptophyta, Magnoliopsida, Ranunculales, Papaveraceae. The transcript has 2 exons.
AUGUAGGAUAAUGUGUGUUUUGAUGGUUAAGAUCAUCUUGGGUGUAGUAGCAGAAAAUAUUCAACUACAUUUUGGCGCUAGAAACUCGUGAAAGAACAUUAAUACUUCACUGCGAGCAAGUUUUGUAAGAGAUCCAGUGAAGAUCCGGUUGAAAUAAGUGCUUUAAGGGCAUUUUUUUUCAAAGAUUCGGGAUCUUCAGACAACAAAGUGUCUCGUCUGAGUCCAAACAAAGCCUAAGAGAAAGAAGUGCAGGCGAAGUUGAUGAGGCGGAGAUAUGAACAAAAACUUCAUCAAGCACUGGAAUCAAUAAAUUUGUCAUAAGCAGUCGAUUGGGAAUCGAAAAUUCUUCUUCCUAUCUCUCUUAUAUUGUUCUUAUUUCAUCAGAUCUACAAGUUGUGAGAAAAAUCUCUCACAUAAAUUUAAAUUUGAUUUUCACAAAAAUCAGAAAUUUAUUUCAAAAUCAUCUUUGAAAACAAGUUUUAUCUAUCGAUCUAUGGUUUCCAAACCUUGUUUUACAAACCCAUUAAGGGAUUUUCUCUGAAAAACACAAAAAUAGGGAUUUCUAGACUAAUUUAGUUUUUCCCUGUGAAUGAAAUUGAAUGAACUGUUGAUGAUAUAUCUCGUUCUUCAUACGAUAAAGGUUAACUUAUCUUUGUAUUGACUAAUCACCCACACGAUUUGUUGAUUGCAGUUAUACCACGAAGAUGGAAGAAGCUGCACGAUUAAAAUCGGAGCAGCGACAACAGCUCAGGAUUAUAGACCAUCAUUAACAUCGCCACCAUCUCGAGACCAACUGUAUAGAAUCACCGAUUCAAUCGAACUAUCUCAUACAACUCAAUUCGGAGCCUCAACCUCUAGGUGCUCGUAAAAAAGCAAUCAACACGAUGAUGUUUAACUCGAGCUCGUGACAGCGAUAUCGGACUCAACAGUUAUCUCCAAGUACAAAACUCGGACAGACAAUCAACCAAAUGGAGGAGAAAGAGACAUUCAGUCGCCAGGGGCGGAGCCACAUUGAGAGGUGGGUGUGCAAUUUCACCCCCUCAAAUGUGAGCUUCCAAGCCUCGUUUAAGCAAUUUUCCCUCAUUUUAUCCAUUUUAACCUUUUUGCACCCCCUAAAAUGUGCACCGGUUGAUAACUUACCCAACCAUUUCUAGAAUUCUUUUCUAGAAUUCUGGCUCCGCCCCUGUCAGUCGCUGAGCAAAAGCUCCAGCAGAAAGAUGAAUAGAACCUCAAAGGAGGAUGGACGAGCUCACAUAGAAGCAGUUCGCGAUGGCAGGCUUCCAUCAACACUUUAGCCUGAUUUAGGAAAAACGAUGAUGGACGAAAUCCCAUCGGAAUGAUUCACCAGCAUCGUGACUACAAGCCAUCCAGAGCUCGGACUACAAGCGAUAUCGGAAACACAAUCCAUAUCGGAGCAACCAUCUCGUACAACUCAAACAAGAGCAUCCAUCUCGGACAGAAUAGCAACAAAGCGAUGUCUCAACAACAAUCAUAGCCAGCACGAUAAGAGCUCGGACUCAGUCCAUAUCGAAUAUCUCAAUCGGAGCAACCAUCUCGUACUGGCAUUACCCCUCAGUUCGGAGCAUCAAUCUCGGACGAACAAUCAAAGCUCGGUCUAUAUCGGGCUAGAGCAACAUCGGAGCAAGAGUCAGCCAGCACAAUGUUGAUUCAAUAGAGCUCGGACUCAUCAGUUCACUUCUGAGCAUCAAUCUCGGACAAGCAGUACAACCAGAACAUGAACUCAGAGAUGAUGAUGGACGAAGUCACAUCGGAGCACCAAUCUCGGACAGACAAUGAAUGAGCCAACCAGAGCAUGAUCUCGUACUCACCAAGUCACCGGACCAGAAGCAAUGUCGGAUGAGAAACCAAUCAACACGAUAUGAGCCAACCAGAGCAUGAUCUCGUACAUACAAAGUCAUCGGUCAAGAAGCACGAACUCUGAUCGCAGAUGGAUAUCGGAUGAGAGCACGAUCUACUCAGACUCAUAUGAUGUUCAUCCAGAGCAUGGACUCGGACCUACCCGGACUUAUCACAAGUUCAUAUCUGAGCAGUAACUCGGAUGACACACCCUCCUCUCUUAAUUUUCUUUUCUUAUUGCAUACAUGACAUGGUAGAUUUGUAAUAGCUCAAUGAUUAUAUCAAAUGCUUAAAUAAAUGAUUCAUUUUUUGAGUUCAGAGAAAUUUAAUACAUUUCAU